CCUGUUUAACAAAAACAUGUCUUUUUGAGUUAUUUUUAAAGUCUGACCUGCCCACUGAAAUUUUUAAAUGGCCGCAGUAUUCUAACUGUGCAAAGGUAGCAUAAUCAUUAGUCUUUUAAUUGAAGGCUGGUAUGAACGGUUGGACGAGGUAUAAGCUGUUUCAUAUAAAUUUAUAAUAGAAUUUUAUAUUUUAGUCAAAAAGCUAAAAUUAAAUUAAAAGACGAGAAGACCCUAUAAAUCUUUAUAUUUUUUGUUAUUUAAAUUUUUUGGAUUAAUUUUAUUUUUAUAGUAAAAAAUAUUUUGUUGGGGUGAUGUUAAAAUUUAAUGAACUUUUAAUUAUUUAAAAUCAUUAAUUUAUGAGUUAUUGAUCCAUUAGUAGUG
RNAcentral lists this ribosomal RNA (381 nucleotides) under Zeugodacus cilifer. Its description in RNAcentral is "partial large subunit ribosomal RNA". The record is from RNAcentral. Lineage: Eukaryota; Metazoa; Arthropoda; Insecta; Diptera; Tephritidae.